UUAUAUUCAAUUUAAUAUAAUUCCUUGGAUCAGUUAUUUGAGAUACGUUUAUAAAAUAUUUUUCUUAUUCUUGAAUUUCUUUUUUCGUUUUUUAUUUGUUAAUAUUUAAAUUUACAAUAUCGCGCUUGUCUUAUGAGAUAUUCACUUGCGACCAUAUAUCGAUAUUGUAAGUUUUUUUUAAUUUGAUAAAUAUAUUUCUUAAGAUAUAUUCUUGCUGCUUUAUAUAUAAAUAAAUAUAAUAAUUCAUUGAUACAAGGUCUGUAAAACCGACGAUAUUUAAACUUUGAUUCAUAACUAAAAAAGUUCUCAUCAAAGUAUAAAAUUUUUAUCAAAUAAAAAUAAAAAACUGACAAUAUAUAUAUAUAGUCACAAAUGGGUCCUUCAUUGUUAGCUGAAAGUAAAUUUACUAUAGUGCUUUCGUUGAAUUAUAUUUUUAAUCAAAUAAAUAUUUUUAUAUAAUGAUGACAUUUUUGUUAGAAAUAAUAUUAUUUCUUUACUAAAACUUUAACUCAAAUAGCGACACUGUUAUAGAAGCGAGCAAGACGAAUUUAACUGUAGACUAUAUAUUGUUGAUUACAUUUUCCACAUGAUAAAAUUUCACGUUCUGAUUUUUGGCUACUAUCGUAACUGGGUAUGUCUAAAACUAUGAUUAAACAUCGUUUCUCUCUACUCUUGUGAUAUUGUAAUUGAUAUAAGGCUUUGUAAGAUAAUAUUUAAAUUUUAAUGUUUUUCUAUUGUCAUGGUUGCAGCGACGUCUGUCGCAAGCUAUAACUUUCUUAAGCAUAAAAUUCUUUUAAAUUUUUGUAAAAUAAAAUUAAAGUUUCUGUAUAGUGUUUUCUGUAUGAAUAUGUAUAUAUAUAUUACAUAUAUAUAUAUUUGUACAUACAUAAUCAAUGCCAAACAGAAACUUAUUUGGUGGAAACGUAUUUUGAAGUAGUAUCAUAUUUUUUAAAGGUUCCUGAAGAAUACAAAUUUAAAUUCAGGAAUGUAAUACGACCAGGUUGACGAUUAAAAGUUAAAAGUGUAUUCAAAAAUCCAAAUUUUCAUUGAACACAAAUAGGAUAAACAAUGUCUCAGGAGCAUGUUUGCAUAGAAUAAUUAUCCGCUUAUACUUGAGUAACUUUGGGCAAGUGUUUAAUGCAAGCACAUAAUGUCAAUAAAUUCGCCAAAUGGUGCAAAAUUAUUUGUAUUGCCGUACAAUUAUAAAAACUGGAAAUGUUUAA
This is a long non-coding RNA of Acromyrmex echinatior (Panamanian leafcutter ant), 1223 nucleotides long. NCBI's taxonomy places the organism in Eukaryota, Metazoa, Arthropoda, Insecta, Hymenoptera, Formicidae. The record is from RefSeq and is a predicted model, not a curated record.